Molecule: ribosomal RNA, 834 nt
Filed under: Psora californica
Lineage: Eukaryota; Fungi; Ascomycota; Lecanoromycetes; Lecanorales; Psoraceae
Description: SSU rRNA
Rfam family: Bacterial small subunit ribosomal RNA
Source: RNAcentral
CCAGCAACUCGGAGGAAUGUAUAGCGUUAGCUAAAUGCAUCGAAAAUAUGAUGCAAGAUCGAUCURUYGAAUAAAAUUCUAGAUAGAAUUAUGAUAAUGACAUUAUCUAUCUAUGUGUCUUGACCAAAUUACGUGCCAGCAGUCGCGGUAAUACGUAAAAGACUAGUGUUAUUCAUCUUUAAUAGGUUUAAAGGGUACUUAGACGGUAAAUCAAGCCCWASASGGKACUAAUWURCUAGAGUUWSWUAURAGGRRGUUUUAAAGUACUGUUGGUGUAGAGAUGAAAUUCUGUCAUACCAUUUUUCGGMASAGGUUUAAUGGCACAGGUAUAGGCGAAAGCAUCCCCUUAUGUGAUAACUGACGUUGAAGGACGAAGGCUUUGAAUAGCGAACAGGAUUAGAUACCCUGGUAGUCAAAGCAGAAAAUAAUGAGUGUCAUAGAUUAGAUAUUAAAGUUUAUUCUAUAAAUGAAAGUGUAAGCACUCCACCUCAAGAGUAAUUUGGCAACAUUGGAACUGAAAUCAUUAGACCGUUUCUGAAACCAGUAGUGAAGUAUGUUGUUUAAUUUGAUAACCCGCAAAAAACCUUACCACAAUUUGAAUAUUUAUAUCCUUGAUAUAAUUACAAGCGUUGCACGGCUGUCUUCAGUUAAUGUCGUGAGAUUUUGGUUAGAUCCAUUAAAUUAACGCAAGCCCUUACUUUAUUUUAAAAUAAAGUCGUUCCCCACUAGAUUGGAUAAGAUAACAGGGAUUAAGACAAGUCAUCAUGGCCUGAAUAUUGUGGGCUAUAGACGUGCCACAUAAACCUUUACAAAAGGAUGUGAAAUUGUGAAAUU